RNAcentral lists this ribosomal RNA (525 nucleotides) under uncultured eukaryote. RNAcentral describes it as "SSU rRNA". It matches the Rfam family "Eukaryotic small subunit ribosomal RNA", at positions 21 to 549 of the family's 1831-position model. The record is from RNAcentral. RNAcentral also lists the same sequence under 1 other name.
UAGUCAUAUGCUUGUCUCAAAGAUUAAGCCAUGCAUGUCUAAGUAUAAGCAAUCUAUACAGUGAAACUGCGAAUGGCUCAUUAAAUCAGUUAUCGUUUAUUUGAUAGUACCUUACUACUUGGAUAACCGUGGUAAUUCUAGAGCUAAUACAUGCUAAAAACCUCGACUUCGGAAGGGGUGUAUUUAUUAGAUAAAAAACCAAUGCCCUUCGGGGCUCCUUGGUGAUUCAUGAUAACUUAACGAAUCGCAUGGCCUUGUGCCGGCGAUGGUUCAUUCAAAUUUCUGCCCUAUCAACUUUCGAUGGUAGGAUAGUGGCCUACCAUGGUUUCAACGGGUAACGGGGAAUUAGGGUUCUAUUCCGGAGAGGGAGCCUGAGAAACGGCUACCACAUCCAAGGAAGGCAGCAGGCGCGCAAAUUACCCAAUCCCGACACGGGGAGGUAGUGACAAUAAAUACUGAUACAGGGCUCUUUUGGGUCUUGUAAUUGGAAUGAGUACAAUUUAAAUCCCUUAACGAGGAACAAUU